CAAAGAACUUGUUUUAGAUUAGUUCUUGCAGAAAUCAGCUUCUGUUUCUUCUCUUUUCAGCAACCCAGCAGGGCUGGAUCAGGAUUUCAGAGAUCAGGGGUUUUGUUUCUUUGCAUUUAGUUCUAGUCGGAGAAUGGUGGGAUCGGAGAGUGAGAAGAAGAGCAGGACUGAGGGAAAGCCAUGGAGAUGGAUUAUGAUUGGUGCCGUC
Molecule: unclassified non-coding RNA, 208 nt
Filed under: Hevea brasiliensis (rubber tree)
Lineage: Eukaryota; Viridiplantae; Streptophyta; Magnoliopsida; Malpighiales; Euphorbiaceae
Source: RNAcentral